GAAAUGCGAUAAGUAAUGUGAAUUGCAGAAUUCAGUGAAUCAUCGAAUCUUUGAACGCACAUUGCGCCCCCUGGUAUUCCGGGGGGCAUGCCUGUUCGAGCGUCAUUUCACCACUCAAGCCUCGCUUGGUAUUGGGCGACGCGGUCCGCCGCGCGCCUCAAAUCGACCGGCUGGGUCUUCCGUCCCCUCAGCGUUGUGGAAACUAUUCGCUAAAGGGUGCCGCGGGAGGUCACGCCGCAAAACAACCCCAUUUCUAAGGUUGACCUCGGAUCUGGUAGGGAUACCCGCUGAACUUAAGC
This 299-nucleotide unclassified non-coding RNA is filed under the name plant metagenome. RNAcentral describes it as "partial contains 5.8S ribosomal RNA, internal transcribed spacer 2, and large subunit ribosomal RNA". The stretch from base 1 to 105 matches the Rfam family "5.8S ribosomal RNA", at positions 50 to 154 of the family's 154-position model. The record is from RNAcentral.